UACAGAGGGGGCAAGCGUUAUUCGGAAUUACUGGGCGUAAAGGGCGCGUAGGCGGGGUGGCAAGUCGGUCGUGAAAUCCCUCGGCUCAACCGAGGAACGUCGAUCGAUACUGCUGUUCUUGAGGAUUGCAGAGGAGACUGGAAUUCCCGGUGUAGCGGUGAAAUGUGUAGAGAUCGGGAGGAACACCGGUGGCGAAGGCGGGUCUCUGGGCAAUUCCUGACGCUGAGGCGCGAAAGCGUGGGGAGCAAACGGG
Molecule: ribosomal RNA, 253 nt
Filed under: uncultured bacterium
Lineage: Bacteria
Description: partial 16S ribosomal RNA
Rfam family: Bacterial small subunit ribosomal RNA
Source: RNAcentral